Molecule: long non-coding RNA, 825 nt
Filed under: Rattus norvegicus (Norway rat)
Lineage: Eukaryota; Metazoa; Chordata; Mammalia; Rodentia; Muridae
Description: long non-coding RNA NONRATT010052
Source: RNAcentral
UGUUAAUUUGCAUUUAUUUGACUAGCCAAAUAAAAAGAUGAUUUUAAGUUAGGUAUGCUGGUAUGUUCCCAUUGGCCCACCAACUCAAGGCUGAAACAGGAGGAUGGCUAGUUAAAGGUCCCAGUCACUCAGGGAAACAUACUGAGAUGGGUGUAUCUUAUUAUCCUCCACCCUGGAUAUUUUGAAGCUAUGAUUCUGUCACUUCCAUUUGCUGAUGGUGUGUUUUUUUGCAGGGAAGUGGGAAUGUCCUUGGCAUCACUGUGAUGUGUGUGGCAAACCUUCUACCUCAUUUUGCCACCUCUGCCCCAACUCAUUCUGUAAGGAACACCAAGAUGGGACUGCUUUCCGCUCCACCCAGGAUGGGCAAUCCUACUGCUGUGAGCAUGACCUGAGGGCAGACUCUGCAAAUAAUACCAAGACUGAGAAACCCUUUCUAGACUCACUCAAGGCGAAGGGGAAGAGGAAGAAAAGGCGGUGCUGGCGAAGGGUCACAGACGGCAAAUAGCGCUUGGUCAGAUCCUGGGGUGGUGUGGGGCAGCCAGUCCUGCCUACAGUGGGAAGGCGAGCACGGCACUCACCCCAAGGACCCAGGUCAUAGUGCUCUAUGUAUAGGCCUACUUGGGUGGGAGGCAGCUCCUCUCACCACUGAGCCAUCCUCAGCAGCUGUGCUGUGUCUGCACUGAUGCUUGUCAGCUGCAUGCUUGGCGGUCCAGGAUAAGCAAGCCUCACUACACAGCGUCACCUCUACACUUGAAUCUGAGACCAACGUCAAGGUGCCCUCCCAUUUCUAUUUUAGAUUAAAGUUAUGAUUGAAGAUUAACUGGC